Molecule: long non-coding RNA, 2798 nt
Organism: Mirounga angustirostris (Northern elephant seal)
Lineage: Eukaryota; Metazoa; Chordata; Mammalia; Carnivora; Phocidae
Exons: 6
Source: RefSeq, a predicted model, not a curated record
UAAAAAAAAAAAAAAAAAAAAAAAAUCGUGCAGCUGCGCAGUGGCUGGGGCGUGCCUGUUGGGGGGAUGCCUGGGUGUUGUCAUCUACUGCCUCCUGUCCCUUUGCGGUAGACUCCCACUGAGAGGGCCUCAUGAGCUUGCCUGGAGAGGCAGUAAAGUUUACCUCCCUGCCUGUGCAUGUUUGCUCAGGUUGUUCUCAGAUCCUAAACUGGGAGGCCAGUGACGGAGAUGACCACAAAGCUAUUUGGGGGACAAGGCGACUUACCACCUUGGAAAGCCCUGAGAGAUUUGAAAGUAUUGCUUUGCUGAAAACAUCUGGCUGCCAGUCUAGAAUGUGACUGUUAAGAGUCCUCGUAAAAGGAGAAGACCAAGACCUGGCUCAUGAAGUGGUAUUGAUUUUCUGAGUUCCUGCUCGAGUUGCCAAAGAUACAACACUGUUGUUAAGGAGAGGAGAUGCCUUGGCCUUCAAUAUCACAGGAGGGUUCCUCGGGACUUACCAAUUUGGCCUUCUUCCAGAUCUGAAAACCGAUUACAAAUAUGAAACAGAUUUCACUACUGGACUUGAAUGCCAUAUAAAAAAACAACACGAUCUUCAGAAUAAUUGAAAAAGAGCCUCACCAAAGAAUAGAUAGAAUGUGAAUGGCAAGGUAUCAAGGAGGUUUUGGUAUUAGGUCUGAUGCAUAACAGACCCUGAAAUGUUGGUGGAGUGAAUGAAGAAUCUCUGUUGCUACAUCAUGGGAACUAUACUGAGACAGCAAUGCAAUGUGUGUGACUCCCAGUGCCAUUCCAAGAAAAAAAAAAAAUAAAGGCAUUUUCAACAAGUGGACAAAACUGUUUCAUUCAAGAGAUUUUUGCUUUUUUCUCUCCUGGAAUAAUUGCUGUGUUUUGCUUCCUUGACAUUUCAUCAUGUUCCUUGAGAUUGUGGUAAGGUAUGUAUACUAUAUGGCAGGAGAGAGUCUUCUAGGACUCUGCAAACUCUUUUUUUUUUUUUUUCCCCUCUUCCAUUAUACUAAAGUGUAUACCUGGUCAUCCCUGUAAUUUUCCUUUAGGGAUACACUGGUGUUUAUUUUCUUAUAUGGGGGCCACCCUUCCCAUAAGCUUAAGCAAAAAUCUGUUUGGGAACAUUUAUUUCACAUCACUAUCUCCCUUCUGUAUCUCCUCUUCUAUUUCAAAUCCCACUCUUUGUUGGUCCUUCAGUAUCAUCGAGAUGCCCUACUUUUGUGUUCUUAUGAUGUAUUGUUCAGUUGUAGCAUAUACUUUAAAACAACAUCAUCCAAUUAUUUGUCUUCCUUCACCAAUAGACACCUCAGUGGCAAGAACUUUGUCUAACUUAUAGCCCCAGGAUUUAGCACAGGAUAAAGUCCGUAGUAGAGGCUGGGUGACAACGGAUGGAAAAUAGACUGUUCAGUGGAAUCACUGCAUGAAAUGAAGGGUGGGGUGUUUGGGCUAAGGGAAAGGAUUGCUAAGGAAGAAUAAGAAAGUAACAGGAGUUGAUUUGGAGAAUACAAAAAGCUAAAAACCAAGUUCUGUUAGUAUCUGCAGAGUUCCUCACUUUUCAUCUGUGGAAAGAGAAGAGAGUACUUUGCUUGACCCACAGGCAUAAUCUAGCUCCUCCGAAGUUAGAGAAUUUCCAGCAGAGUGAAGAAUUAAGCGCAGGCCUGCAUUAUUUGCUGAUGUCUUAAUAUCUUCCAUAACUAAAAGCCAAGUAGAGUAUAAGAAGCUUCUAUGAGCUCUGAAAGUCAAUUCAUUUUAAAAUACAUGUAUCGAGAGCCCACUUUGUGCUGCAACUAUGGAUAUAAAGACAACUGGGACAUUGUCUCAUAAUAAUUCCCUUUUCUCAACCAAAUUAGCUAUUCUCAUCACUAUAGCUGUCUCUAUAUCAGACAUUCAUAACACCACUUGAGGAGAUCUCUAAUACUUUCUUGUGAAGAACUCCAAAUAGCUUCUUUUCCUAUAGGUAUGCCAUUCUUCUGUGCCCACUGCCAAUUUAACCUUAAGUUUUCAGUAAAUGAGAUAGCCAAGUCGGGUUCUAAUAGUUAGUGUUAAAUUGGUAGUUUCUUGGGGCAUGUGGGUGGCUCAGUCAGUUAAGUAUCUGCUUUCCCAUCAGGUCAUGAUCCCAGGGUCUUGGGAUUGAGCCCCAUGUCAGACUCCCUGCUUAGCAAGGAGUCUGCUUCUACCUCUACCUCUCCCUCUGCCUCUGCCACCUGCUUCUGCAUUCUCUCUCUCAAAUAAAUAAAUUUUUUAAAAUGUUAAAAAAUAAGAAUAAGUUGGUAGUUUCUUACUAUAUAUUACAUUUUCAUCUAUCCAUUUAAAAUGUGUAUUGUGCAAUGACCAUAAACCUAGAAUGUUUCUGUCCACAGGAAUAUGUACACGAACAAUAUAGAAAAUAUUCCUAUUUUCAUAGACCUUUUAUGCCCAUGCGGCAGACAAUAAACAAACAUGUAAACGGUAUCAGCCAGCAUUUUUUCUACAAUAAUGCUGUGAAACAAAUAGCUCUAAAAUCUCUGAAUUAAAACACCGAACACUCACUUAUCUCAUUAGCAAUUCUUAGGUAAGCUGGAAUUGUAGGGUUCAGCUUACCAUGGCUUGAAACUGUCAGUUGGGAUCUGAUUCGCUAGUCCAGAGAAACCAAAUCCCUGGACCAGUUGCUAUCUGGGGCCUGUGCUUCUCAUGAAGAAUGGCAGGAGUGCAAGAGAACAAGCAAGAUCAUGCCAGCAAGUCUAAAACUCUGCUUCUGUCACAUUUAUUAACAUUUUAUUAACCAAGACAAUUCACAUGCCAAACCCACUAUGAAUGGA